GUGGGAGGGGGCUUGCCCCCGAUGACAGUGUGUCAGUCAACUGAUCCCUGUCUGACGCACCGCAAUCGGGGGCAAGCCCCCUCCCAC
This 87-nucleotide unclassified non-coding RNA is filed under the name Pseudomonas orientalis. The record is from RNAcentral. Lineage: Bacteria; Pseudomonadati; Pseudomonadota; Gammaproteobacteria; Pseudomonadales; Pseudomonadaceae.